Molecule: ribosomal RNA, 354 nt
Filed under: uncultured bacterium
Lineage: Bacteria
Description: partial 16S ribosomal RNA
Rfam family: Bacterial small subunit ribosomal RNA
Source: RNAcentral
CCUACGGGAGGCAGCAGUGAGGAAUAUUGGUCAAUGGGCGCGAGCCUGAACCAGCCAAGUCGCGUGAGGGAGGACGGCCCUACGGGUUGUAAACCUCUUUUGCCGGGGAGCAACGGGCGUCACGUGUGGCGCCACUGAGAGUACCCGGAGAAAAAGCAUCGGCUAACUCCGUGCCAGCGGCCGCGGUAAUACGGAGGUUGCGAGGGUUAUCCGGAUUUAUUGGGUUUAAAGGGUGCGUAGGGGGAUCGUUAAGCCAGGGGUAAAAUUGAGGGGAACAACCCCUUCCCGCCAUUGAAACUGGCGUUCUGAGGUGGAAGAGGAGUAUGCGGAAUGGGUGGUGUAGCGGUGAAAUGC